Molecule: ribosomal RNA, 429 nt
Filed under: Verrucomicrobiota bacterium
Lineage: Bacteria; Pseudomonadati; Verrucomicrobiota
Description: Verrucomicrobia bacterium partial 16S ribosomal RNA
Rfam family: Bacterial small subunit ribosomal RNA
Source: RNAcentral
UAGGGAAUCUUCGGCAAUGGGGGGAACCCUUACCGCGCAACGCCGCGUGAGUGAAGAAGGUUUUCGGAUCGUAAAGCUCUGUUGUUAAGGAAGAACGAGUGUGAGAAUGGAAAGUUCAUGCUGUGACGGUACUUAACCAGAAAGGGACGGCUAACUACGUGCCAGCAGCCGCGGUAAUACGUAGGUCCCGAGCGUUGUCCGGAUUUAUUGGGCGUAAAGCGAGCGCAGGCGGUUAGAAAAGUCUGAAGUGAAAGGCAGUGGCUCAACCAUUGUAGGCUUUGGAAACUGUGUAACUUGAGUGCAGAAGGGGAGCGUGGAAUUCCAUGUGUAGCGGUGAAAUGCGUAGAUAUAUGGAGGAGCACCGGUGGCGAAAGCGGCUCUCUGGUCUGUAACUGACGCUGGGGCUCGAAAGCGUGGGGGGCGAACAGG